Molecule: long non-coding RNA, 489 nt
Filed under: Homo sapiens (human)
Lineage: Eukaryota; Metazoa; Chordata; Mammalia; Primates; Hominidae
Description: HSALNT0255621
Source: RNAcentral
GAGCCCAUGGGCAAGCAGGGCCGCGUGCUCCACCCAGAGCAGCACCGUGUGGUGAGCGUGCGGGAGUGUGCCCGCUCCCAGGGCUUCCCUGACACCUACCGGCUCUUCGGCAACAUCCUGGACAAGCACCGGCAGCUAAAAUAAAGGAGGAGGAAGCUGCUAAGGACUAGUUCUGCCCUCCCGUCACCCCUGUUUCUGGCACCAGGAAUCCCCAACAUGCACUGAUGUUGUGUUUUUAACAUGUCAAUCUGUCCGUUCACAUGUGUGGUACAUGGUGUUUGUGGCCUUGGCUGACAUGAAGCUGUUGUGUGAGGUUCGCUUAUCAACUAAUGAUUUAGUGAUCAAAUUGUGCAGUACUUUGUGCAUUCUGGAUUUUAAAAGUUUUUUAUUAUGCAUUAUAUCAAAUCUACCACUGUAUGAGUGGAAAUUAAGACUUUAUGUAGUUUUUAUAUGUUGUAAUAUUUCUUCAAAUAAAUCUCUCCUAUAAAC